Molecule: long non-coding RNA, 1264 nt
Organism: Rhipicephalus sanguineus (brown dog tick)
Lineage: Eukaryota; Metazoa; Arthropoda; Arachnida; Ixodida; Ixodidae
Exons: 4
Source: RefSeq, a predicted model, not a curated record
AAAACUGGGAGCGUAGGACAGACCGACGGUUGUGCGGCCUUUUUGCUGCUCUUGUGUAGCUUUAUCAAUUUCCACAGACGUCAGUAACGAGAGUCAUCCUAUAGCUGGUUUGAAGGAACUAAGGUCGGCAGUAACGAGCGACACACCAUAACCACUGUUCAAGUGCAACCUACACAAGGCACACUGCAGUCGAGUUAAGAGGAACCUCGUCUGAGUAUCGAGUCAAGCCCAUGGCUGAUAACAACGCUGACAGCUUACUGCCGACAUCCGGCAAACUAAAAUUCCUUCGUCACUUUGAAGGCAUCCUGGUCAGUAACCUGUUCGAAGAGUCGCGACUGCGGUCAGCCUUUCGUUACGAGCCCAGGGACGACGAUGUGUUCGUCGUGGGCUUCCCGAAGACGGGCACCACGUGGCUUCAUUUCGUGCUGUAACGCAUCCUGAAACACGACAGUGAAACGCCCAUACAGAGCGCCGCAGCGUGUGGGAUGAACGUUGCCUUCCUGGAAGGCGCUGGCGGCGAGAAGGUUGAGAAGCUGCCGAGGAAAUCGGGGAUACCACUGGUCAUCAAGACGCAUCUGCCUUUCGAGAAAGUGCACUUCUCGGACAAAUCCAGGUAUAUCUACGUGCUGCGGAAUCCAUAUGGCACGUGCGUGUCGUAUUACCAUCAGGUGCAACAGAAAGCGCCAGGCUGCAGAGACGUCACUUUCGACGACUUCUUCGAGCAGUUCAUAGACGGACGAGUUCACCCGAACGAUUACUUCGAUCACCUGGCGUCCUGGUUCGCGCAGAGGGCGAGACCUAAUUUUAUGUGCAUAACGUACCGAAGACAUGAAAAGAGAUCCUCGUUCCGGGAUUCAAAAGAUCGCCCAGUUUCUGGGGAAGAAAAUCAUCCAGUACGACGCAGUACUGGAUGAAAUCGUACAGACCGUAUCUCCGGAUAUCAUGAAAAAGGCCUUUGCCGAAGCCUUUUCUGCAAGGCACGAGGACAAGUCGAUCAAAGGCGAUUCCUCUGGCGGGGCCAGCAAGCAGAGAGGUGCCAACCUCGUAAGGAACGCGACAGUCGGCGACUGGAAGAACCAUUUCUCAGCCUCUCAGAUUGAGCGCAUGAAAGUCAAAAUUGCAUGUAGGACGUCCGGCUUUCGAAGAGACCUGGAGGCUAUGUGGAAGGACGCCAGCCUGCCGUAAGCAGCUCAUUCAGCGCACGUCGUGAAAACCCAUUCAAUAACUUUGCAAAUGCGUCUUUCUAGAAUAAAUUUUUUUGUUA